RNAcentral lists this ribosomal RNA (253 nucleotides) under uncultured bacterium. RNAcentral's name for it is "partial 16S ribosomal RNA". It matches the Rfam family "Bacterial small subunit ribosomal RNA", at positions 524 to 776 of the family's 1533-position model. The record is from RNAcentral.
UACGGGGGGGGCAAGCGUUGUUCGGAAUUACUGGGCGUAAAGGGCUCGUAGGCGGCCAACUAAGUCGGAUGUGAAAUCCCCAGGCUUAACCUGGGAACUGCAUCCGAUACUGGAUGGCUUGAAUCCGGGAGAGGGAUGCAGAAUUCCAGGUGUAGCGGUGAAAUGCGUAGAUAUCGUAAGGAAGACCAGUGGCGAAGGCGGAUCUCUGGACAGUUACUGACACUGAGGCACGAAGGCCAGGGGAGCAAACGGG